Molecule: ribosomal RNA, 646 nt
Filed under: Ralstonia sp. enrichment culture
Lineage: Bacteria; Pseudomonadati; Pseudomonadota; Betaproteobacteria; Burkholderiales; Burkholderiaceae
Description: bacterial SSU rRNA
Rfam family: Bacterial small subunit ribosomal RNA
Source: RNAcentral
GAGUUUGAUCCUGGCUCAGAUUGAACGCUGGCGGCAUGCCUUACACAUGCAAGUCGAACGGCAGCGCGGACUUCGGUCUGGCGGCGAGUGGCGAACGGGUGAGUAAUACAUCGGAACGUACCCUGUUGUGGGGGAUAACUAGUCGAAAGAUUAGCUAAUACCGCAUACGACCUGAGGGUGAAAGCGGGGGACCGCAAGGCCUCGCGCAGCAGGAGCGGCCGAUGUCUGAUUAGCUAGUUGGUGGGGUAAAGGCCCACCAAGGCGACGAUCAGUAGCUGGUCUGAGAGGACGAUCAGCCACACUGGGACUGAGACACGGCCCAGACUCCUACGGGAGGCAGCAGUGGGGAAUUUUGGACAAUGGGGGCAACCCUGAUCCAGCAAUGCCGCGUGUGUGAAGAAGGCCUUCGGGUUGUAAAGCACUUUUGUCCGGAAAGAAAACGCUCUGGUUAAUACCUGGGGUGGAUGACGGUACCGGAAGAAUAAGCACCGGCUAACUACGUGCCAGCAGCCGCGGUAAUACGUAGGGUGCGAGCGUUAAUCGGAAUUACUGGGCGUAAAGCGUGCGCAGGCGGUUUUGUAAGACAGGCGUGAAAUCCCCGAGCUCAACUUGGGAAUUGCGCUUGUGACUGCAAGGCUAGAGUAUG